AUUGAACGCUGGCGGCAUGCUUUACACAUGCAAGUCGAACGGUAACAGCACUUCGGUGGCUGACGAGUGGCGAACGGGUGAGUAAUACAUCGGAACGUGCCUAGUAGUGGGGGAUAACUACUCGAAAGAGUAGCUAAUACCGCAUGAGAUCUAAGGAUGAAAGCAGGGGACCUGCGGGCCUUGCGCUACUAGAGCGGCUGAUGGCAGAUUAGGUAGUUGGUGGGAUAAAAGCUUACCAAGCCGAAGAUCUGUAGCUGUUCUGAGAGGACGACCAGCCACACUGGGACGGAGACACGGCCCAGACUCCUACGGGAGGCAGCAGUGGGGAAUGUUGGACAAUGGGCGCAAGCCUGAUCCAGCAAUGCCGCGUGCAGGAUGAAGGCCUUCGGGUUGUAAACUGCUUUUGUACGGAACGAAAAGCCCUCUUCUAAUACAGGAGGGUCAUGACGGUACCGUAAGAAUAAGCACCGGCUAACUACGUG
This 482-nucleotide ribosomal RNA is filed under the name uncultured bacterium. RNAcentral's name for it is "partial 16S ribosomal RNA". It matches the Rfam family "Bacterial small subunit ribosomal RNA", at positions 30 to 507 of the family's 1533-position model. The record is from RNAcentral.